UACGUAGGGUGCGAGCGUUAAUCGGAAUUACUGGGCGUAAAGCGUGCGCAGGCGGUGAUGUAAGACCGAUGUGAAAUCCCCGGGCUCAACCUGGGAACUGCAUUUGUGACUGCAUGGCUAGAGUACGGUAGAGGGGGAUGGAAUUCCGCGUGUAGCAGUGAAAUGCGUAGAUAUGCGGAGGAACACCGAUGGCGAAGGCAAUCCCCUGGACCUGUACUGACGCUCAUGCACGAAAGCGUGGGGAGCAAACAGG
RNAcentral lists this ribosomal RNA (253 nucleotides) under uncultured bacterium. Its description in RNAcentral is "partial 16S ribosomal RNA". It matches the Rfam family "Bacterial small subunit ribosomal RNA", at positions 524 to 776 of the family's 1533-position model. The record is from RNAcentral.